RNAcentral lists this ribosomal RNA (431 nucleotides) under Epheloscyta sancta. Its description in RNAcentral is "partial 16S ribosomal RNA". Lineage: Eukaryota; Metazoa; Arthropoda; Insecta; Hemiptera; Aphalaridae. The record is from RNAcentral.
AAACAUCUCUAAUAGAAAAAUGUUUUUAGUUUGCCCUGCUCCAUGCUUAUGUAAAUAGCUGCAGUAUUUUGACUGUACAAAGGUAGCAUAAUCACUAGUUUUUUAAUUGAAAGCUUGAAUGAAUGGGUGGACGUAAUAUUAUCUUUAUUAUUUAAAAUUAUUGAAUUUAAUUUCUAAGUUAAAAAGCUUAGUUAUAUUAAAGGGACGAGAAGACCCUAUAGAAUUUAAGGAUUAUUUCUUUUAUUGGGGUAAUAGAAAUAGAACUUUUCUCUUUACUCACUGUUAAGUGAUUUAAAGAUCUUAUAAAUUAGAUUUUUAGAAAAAAUUACCUUAGGGAUAACAGCAUAAUUUUUUUAAAAAGAUCUUAUUAAUGAAAAAGAUUAUGACCUCGAUGUUGAAUUAAAAUUUAUUUUGGCGCAAAAGUUAAACUA